UAAGUCCCCCAACUCUUAAAUCC
This 23-nucleotide microRNA is filed under the name Cordylochernes scorpioides. Lineage: Eukaryota; Metazoa; Arthropoda; Arachnida; Pseudoscorpiones; Chernetidae. The record is from RNAcentral.